CGAAAUGCGAUAAGUACUGUGAAUUNCGGAAUUCAGUGAAUCAUCGAAUCCUUGAACGCACCUUGCG
This 67-nucleotide ribosomal RNA is filed under the name uncultured Ceratobasidium. RNAcentral describes it as "partial 5.8S ribosomal RNA". It matches the Rfam family "5.8S ribosomal RNA", at positions 49 to 115 of the family's 154-position model. From Rfam's summary of the family: 5.8S ribosomal RNA (5.8S rRNA) is a component of the large subunit of the eukaryotic ribosome. It is transcribed by RNA polymerase I as part of the 45S precursor that also contains 18S and 28S rRNA. Lineage: Eukaryota; Fungi; Basidiomycota; Agaricomycetes; Cantharellales; Ceratobasidiaceae. The record is from RNAcentral.